RNAcentral lists this long non-coding RNA (200 nucleotides) under Elaeis guineensis (African oil palm). Its description in RNAcentral is "long non-coding RNA (EGUI_LNC066381)". The record is from RNAcentral. Lineage: Eukaryota; Viridiplantae; Streptophyta; Magnoliopsida; Arecales; Arecaceae.
AUUGACCCAAUCCCAUUAGGUCAAAGGCAACUGGUCUAGGUUAUCUCAAACACUUUGAACCAAACUAAUUUAGGAACUUGAGUUAAUACAAUAUGCUAGAAUAUCAAAUUAACCCAUAGAAUUUAUAUUAAACUCUAAUAAAAUUAGACCAAGGCCAAAUCCCAAAGUGUAUGAUCCAUUAGGUUUCAAAUCUAGCCAGC